AGAAGUAAAUCUAUUUGAACUUCUAAUUCAAUUUUUAAUGAUAUAAAUCAUUUUACUUCUU
RNAcentral lists this transfer RNA (61 nucleotides) under Polyrhachis dives. RNAcentral describes it as "tRNA-Ser". The record is from RNAcentral. Lineage: Eukaryota; Metazoa; Arthropoda; Insecta; Hymenoptera; Formicidae.